UUAAAGGAAUUGACGGGGAGCACUACAACGGGUGGAGCCUGCGGUUUAAUUGGACUCAACGCCGGAAAACUCACCGGGGCGACAGCAAUAUGUAGGUCAAGCUAAAGACUUUACCAGAAUCGCUGAGAGGAGGUGCAUGGCCGUCGUCAGUUCGUACUGUGAAGCAUCCUGUUAAGUCAGGCAACGAGCGAGACCCGUGCCCACUGUUGCCAGCAUGUCCUUCGGGAUGAUGGGUACUCCGUGGGGACCGCCGAUGCUAAAUCGGAGGAAGGUGCGGGCUACGGUAGGUCAGUAUGCCCCGAAUCUCCCGGGCUACACGCGGGCUACAAUGACUGGGACAAUGGGCUCCUACCCCGAAAGGGGAUGGUAAUCUCAUAAACCCAGCCUUAGUUCGGAUCGAGGGCUGUAACCCGCCCUCGUGAAGCUGGAAUCCGUAGUAAUCGCGUUUCAACAUAGCGCGGUGAAUACGUCCCUGCUCCUU
RNAcentral lists this ribosomal RNA (481 nucleotides) under uncultured Methanomethylovorans sp. RNAcentral describes it as "bacterial SSU rRNA". It matches the Rfam family "Archaeal small subunit ribosomal RNA", at positions 856 to 1338 of the family's 1478-position model. Lineage: Archaea; Methanobacteriati; Methanobacteriota; Methanomicrobia; Methanosarcinales; Methanosarcinaceae. The record is from RNAcentral.